Molecule: ribosomal RNA, 365 nt
Filed under: uncultured Smithella sp.
Lineage: Bacteria; Pseudomonadati; Thermodesulfobacteriota; Syntrophia; Syntrophales; Smithellaceae
Description: bacterial SSU rRNA
Rfam family: Bacterial small subunit ribosomal RNA
Source: RNAcentral
CCUUUCGGGAACCAGGAGACAGGUGCUGCAUGGCUGUCGUCAGCUCGUGUCGUGAGAUGUUGGGUUAAGUCCCGCAACGAGCGCAACCCUUAUCUUUAAUUGCCAGCAUUCAGUUGGGCACUUUAAAGAGACUGCCGGUGUUAAACCGGAGGAAGGUGGGGGAUGACGUCAAGUCCUCAUGGCCUUUAUGUCCAGGGCUACACACGUGCUACAAUGGUUGCUACAAAGCGAUGCUACACCGCGAGGUCACGCAAAGCGCAAAAAGCAACCGUAGUUCGGAUUGAAGUCUGAAACCCGACUUCAUGAAGUUGGAAUCGCUAGUAAUCGCGCAUCAGCACGGCGCGGUGAAUACGUUCCCGGGCCUU